CCUCCGCGGACAGCCACGUGAGUCAGCCAUUUCAGAAGAGGAUUCUUGAGCCCCGGUCGAGCUGUGAGAUUUCUGCAGCCCCAGCCAGUAUAACCCCCUGAGAGAAGCAGAGCCAGACCACUCAGCUGAGCCUCUCCCGAAUUCCUGAGCCCCCAAAACUCAUCAAGUCUUUGAUUUUGCUACUAGCAAAAUGGUCUGGAUUAUCAUACCUAAAACCGUGUAGCUAAAGCCUAGAUACUGCUGGCAAGGCAAACUAUGGUCAUCCAGGGAUUUUUGCCUUAUUUCAGUCAUUAAGACAAUGGUUACUCCAUCAGCCUGGAUUCCAGAGAGAGAAGACAUGGAGCAAAACCUCUGGACAACAUGUACAGGACAUGCAGUGUGAGAUUAAAUACAUACAUACAUACAUACUUAUUAUGAGGUGCCCAGAUUUUGGAAUCAUUAGCAUGCCCUAACAUAUCCUGCCUGAUAUACACCAAUGUAGAGAGGGCGGUAUUUCAGAAUAAAUUUUCCCAGAGCAAUGUUUAUUGUUUAAGCCUCCCCCACCUCCAAAAAAAAAUUAACUAGCCCCAGGAGGGGCA
Eubalaena glacialis (North Atlantic right whale) is the source of this 578-nucleotide long non-coding RNA. RefSeq lists it as uncharacterized. The transcript has 4 exons. The record is from RefSeq and is a predicted model, not a curated record. NCBI's taxonomy places the organism in Eukaryota, Metazoa, Chordata, Mammalia, Artiodactyla, Balaenidae.